RNAcentral lists this long non-coding RNA (511 nucleotides) under Theobroma cacao (cacao). RNAcentral's name for it is "long non-coding RNA (TCAC_LNC002393)". The record is from RNAcentral. Lineage: Eukaryota; Viridiplantae; Streptophyta; Magnoliopsida; Malvales; Malvaceae.
AAACAACAUGCCAUACAAUCUUAAUAAUUUUCAACUAGCUUAGGCAAAUAGAUCCUUUCAACAACCGUAAUUCCUCACAAUAUUCAACUAACCGUAGGCUUUAAAACAUAGUGUUAAGCUUACCAUUUUCUUUUUCCACUUUGAGUCCUUCAUGUACCCUUGGGUUUAUUGGCUUACAUGUUACCAAUUUUUCUCCAAUCAAGCCAAUCUUUGCUGUCACAAGACAUUUCUCUAAGUCACUAACUCAAUUUCAAAGACUACUCAAGCCAAAAACAAGAAUUCUUACCGUUCCUUGCUUGAAUCACCAAAACCAAGCUUUUUCUUCCUUUCUCUCUUUUUCUUUCUUCUCCUCCUAGGGUUUAGAUGUGCUGGAAAUUGGGGUUAAAGGCUGUAAAUUUAGUGCUCAAGAAGUUUGGAGAAGAAAGGAAAAGAAAACAUGGAAAAGAAAGUGAAGAAAACUUGAUUUCAUGGUGGAUAAAGAGAAAAUGGCAUGGAAGCUUCAAGAAUGGCG